This 446-nucleotide ribosomal RNA is filed under the name uncultured bacterium. RNAcentral's name for it is "partial 16S ribosomal RNA". It matches the Rfam family "Bacterial small subunit ribosomal RNA", at positions 338 to 795 of the family's 1533-position model. The record is from RNAcentral.
CCUACGGGGGACAGCAGUCGAGAAUCAUUCACAAUGGGGGAAACCCUGAUGGUGCGACGCCGCGUGGGGGAAUGAAGGUCUUCGGAUUGUAAACCCCUGUCAUGUGGGAGCAAAUUAAAAAGAUAGUACCACAAGAGGAAGAGACGGCUAACUCUGUGCCAGCAGCCGCGGUAAUACAGAGGUCUCAAGCGUUGUUCGGAAUCACUGGGCGUAAAGCGUGCGUAGGCUGUUUCGUAAGUCGUGUGUGAAAGGCGCGGGCUCAACCCGCGGACGGCACAUGAUACUGCGAGACUAGAGUAAUGGAGGGGGAACCGGAAGUCGCGGUGUAGCAGGGAAAUGCGGAGAUAUCGAGAGGAACACUCGUGGCGAAGGCGGGUUCCUGGACAUUAACUGGCGCUGAGGCACGAAGGCCAGGGGAGCGAAAGGGAUUAGAUACCCCAGUAGUC